RNAcentral lists this long non-coding RNA (203 nucleotides) under Salvia miltiorrhiza (redroot sage). RNAcentral's name for it is "long non-coding RNA (SMIL_LNC011688)". The record is from RNAcentral. Lineage: Eukaryota; Viridiplantae; Streptophyta; Magnoliopsida; Lamiales; Lamiaceae.
AAGGUUAUGGUUGGGUCUGAACUUGGUAGUUCAGGGUCUGAUUCGUACGAUUGCUUUUCGAGCCCAAACCGUCGAUUUUUAAUUUUUUUAUUAAUUUUUUUAUAUUGAGUUUGAGUGUUGUGUAUAUUUUUCCUUUAUAAUUACAUAAUUAAUUUACUAUAUUACCUUUAGUUUUAUUGUUGAAGACUAUAAUAGAAAUAAAU